GUGGGUAUAGCUCAGUCGGUAGAGCGCUGGAUUGUGGUUCCAGAUGUCGAGGGUUCAAAUCCCUCUACCCACCCCA
RNAcentral lists this transfer RNA (76 nucleotides) under Acidobacteriota bacterium. RNAcentral describes it as "Acidobacteria bacterium tRNA-His". It matches the Rfam family "tRNA". From Rfam's summary of the family: Transfer RNA (tRNA) molecules are approximately 80 nucleotides in length. Their secondary structure includes four short double-helical elements and three loops (D, anti-codon, and T loops). The record is from RNAcentral. RNAcentral also lists the same sequence under 2 other names. Lineage: Bacteria; Pseudomonadati; Acidobacteriota.